AAGGCCUGACCUCGCUCAAGACCCAGGGACCGGACGGAUGCUGCAGAGUGAGGUGGGAAUCCCACUCUGUCCAUUGCAGUCCUGCUAAGUGGGAGAGGAAUGUAGGGAAGAGCGAUGUUUAAGUCAAUAAGCGAUAAGCAAUGACAGCAUUUUAACACAAUCCAGAUGUGAGGGCAGGCCUGCCGGAGGAGCCCCAGCUUAACCUCCGGGCUGUGGAGUGGCGGGCAUCUCCCAGAUCUGUUCACCAUCUACCCUCCUCCCGGUACCCAACAGAGCAGGCGGAUGGAUGGAGGAGAAAGUGUCGGAGUCGACAGAUACCGGAGGGAUAGUGUCUCUCAGCAGCAGUCCUUUAAGAUGGAGUUGAACUCAAUACUGAGACUCUGGAUGUGACCUCUAGAGACCAUGAUCCUUUCCAUCCAGAACCUCCUCAUUUGGAGCAUAUCUUGGAGGGUGAGCUGUCCAAGAGAAAGAAACUGGGAUGUGGAGAGCAGAAAAGGUUUGCCCAAAGUCACACAGCCAGUGAUCUGUGGUCUUGGUGAUCCAGACUCUAUGACUCUUCUGUAGGGAUCUUCCAUGAAGUACUAAUGGAGACUCAAGAGGCCAAGACUGAACUGGAGCAUAUACAGAAGGUUCUCGUAGGUGAUCCCUUAGGUUCUUGCCUUUCUGUGGCCCUUCAGCAACUGCAUCCUCUGGUUUGAGAAGCUGCUGGGGCUGUGGAUGCCAUGCUGGCCUGGGGUGGAGGCAAGAAGGCACUGAAGGUCGAACCACUCCAGCUCUUGGAGGCUGCUUGCUCAUCCGUAACAGGGAGAUGAUAACAGCUGUAAUAGCUACACUCCCAGAGAAGUCUGUCGCCUCUAAGGUCUGUCCAAACUCAAAAGCCCAAUGAAAUAUUUCAGCAAUCAAUGCUGGAGUCUAAAUCCUGUCCAAGCAGAGCCGUGGAUUUAGACUAGCCUUAUCUACCAAGGUUACUGAAAGGCGGGACUCUCCCUUCCUUCGGGGCCACUUCCUCCCACUCUAUGGCUCCCCCCUCCUCUCUAAGCUGACUACAUUUUUUAUCUACCCCAUCUGGGGCUGGUCCCCCAAUAAACUCAUUUACAUCAACGCGUUAA
Monodelphis domestica (gray short-tailed opossum) is the source of this 1109-nucleotide long non-coding RNA. RefSeq lists it as uncharacterized. The record is from RefSeq and is a predicted model, not a curated record. Lineage: Eukaryota; Metazoa; Chordata; Mammalia; Didelphimorphia; Didelphidae.